Molecule: long non-coding RNA, 1056 nt
Filed under: Coturnix japonica (Japanese quail)
Lineage: Eukaryota; Metazoa; Chordata; Aves; Galliformes; Phasianidae
Description: lncRNA (ENSCJPG00005021073.1)
Source: RNAcentral
AGUUCAUAUGUACAAACGAAUGCUGAAGUGAUGGAGGAUUCCUGUCUCCUAUGCAAGCAAGAUUAAAAAAGAGGGCAGGAGAGGAAAAGACUGAAAGGCUACGUGGCAGACCAAAGAGCAAGGAGCCUUAAUUAAUUCAUGGAAGUAAUAACAUUUAUGUCAGCUGCUCCUCUUUUCUGAAGGAUGGAACCUCACUGAUUGAAAGAUACUUGGGUCAGAUACACUCUCACUACUCAGCAGCUCCAUUGCUGUAGCUCUUGUAAAACCUGAAACCACGUGACCUUCAUGCACUGCUGUUUUUCAUUAUUGGUCUCAGCACAGAGUAUAGGAAUUGUCAUAUAUUAUCAACUCAGCCAUCUAUUAAGAUCCAUAUUCUCACUAAUGGUAGCUUAAGAGGGCAGUGCCAUAAUUUGAUGCGUAUACUUUUUUCUCUGCUCUAAAUCUUAAAUUAAACUCUUGAUAGACUCAGGGUUUUUGUUUUUUUUUGGUUUUUUUGUUUUGUUUUGGUUUUUUGUUUUUGUUUUUUUUCCCCAGACAACAUUGCUUAAAGUAUCUUUGAAAACUGUUGAAAAUCAUGCCAAAUCUGGACAGCCUCACUGUCACAUCACUGACCAAACCCUGAAUCUUUAUGUUCUUGAAUGAUGGCACAACUUGUCUUCCCUGAAGGUGUUCACUGUGUAAAAAAAGGUGUAGAUGUCAGCCCGUGCUAGACCUUAUGAAAUGCAAAUCCUCAGGCAUGAAACCUGUGGUUCACCUACGCACUGAAUUCAGAUUCAGAUCUCCACCCCCCUCACAAGCUGGCUGUUCAGCCCUUUCCUGAUGAUGCAUUCAAGCAGGUAACUGAGAGACAUAAAUUAUCUACUACCAGCCAGCAAGGUGCCCGUGCUGCAGAAGGUUUUUAUGUUACUCAGGAACACAUUAUAUCCAGCUUUGGAGAUUCAGUGAAAGAAACGACAGUGUUCUUAAUGGUAAGACCUCUUAAAUGUAAAGGGGCACACAGACCUUAGACCUGAAGAAAGCAAUAAAAACUGUAAUGGAAGAAAAGUUUGGAAAAUA